GCAACAAAUAGGCAUAUAUGUUAAAAGUGGGAUAUGGGAAAUAUGUUUGUUGGAAAGUAAAACAUAGGAUAGAAGUACAAGUGUAGCAUAGAGAAAAAUAAGUGAAGUGAGUGAAUGAGAGAGAGAGAGAUGUGUUUGUGGACAUAGGAAUAGAGAGAACUUAAAAUACAAAAUGGUCUUGAAGAGGUUAGAAUAUAAAACCCCAAUGGUAAACCAGAAAGCAGUCUACACAUAGAGGGGCCUAGUUAUACUGUUUAAAUUAUAGAAACUCUGAUGAAGAUGUAUCUCCAAUGUGGUUGCCUUGAAUAUAUUGUUUUAUUUAAUUUCUCAGGAUUUAGGGCAUUUAAUUUUUAGGGGUUAAAGUUAAGCUGUAAAUAUAGAUUUACUGUAUUUAAAUUUAGAUAAAAAAAAAGAUCUCAUGAAACUGUUCCAAGCCUCCUGAAAAUGGUUCCUUAUGAUAAUAACAACUGUUUGAAAGAAAAUAUGGGAUAAGAAGCACAUGCAUGACACCCUCCCUUCUCUAGUAUAUGAACAAGAGAUGGUUAACAGGCCAUUUGGGCUUGGAUAAGUUCAUUUUUUUCUGCCUUUUCUUGAUAUCCAAAUGUUACACACAGCUCUUAUGCAGAAAGAGACUUUUGAUUAACAACAUCAUUUGCAACAAGUAGUUCAUGAAAACUAAUAAAUAGCAUUAGAUGACUUUAAGGAGAGAAAUCAAAACGAUAUCUAUUUGGAGGUAUUGUAAACAACGAUGAAGCAUUAUUGGGCGACUCUCAGGUGUGGAAUUAAAUCUUGCCAACCAUUGAUCCACAGAGAUUCCCCAAGGAUAUGAUGUUGGCUUUACAUGUUAAAAAGUGUCAUCUGUAUCUCUAACUUCAAAAUGAUUAUUUUAGUUUAGAUCUGUGUGCAUUGAUGCUAAAUGGUGUGAGAAAAUAGAUGCCAAUUUGAAAUGGUGUCCUCCCAUAUUUCUUUUUAAUAUCAUGCUAUAUUGUGAUAUGCCUUGCUAAAUCAGAUCCUGUAGAUGAGAAUCUAAUUCUAUGAUCUCAGUUGUUGCUAACUGAUUAUAACAUAACCAUUUUAAGCAUUAUAACCAAGCAUCCAAUGGAUAGAGAAAAAUAAAAGCAAUAAUAAUGUAAAUGUUUUUAUGUUAUGCAUCAUUUUUCUCCUAGAACAAGUUAUGGAGGAAGGAACUAACUUAAAGAAAAUUUACUUUAAACUUGAUAGUUUUUUUAUCAGUCUUUUGAUAACUUGUUGAGUUCAACUUUAUAUUAUCUGGUGCAGGAGUUGUCAGAGCAUCUGGGA
RNAcentral lists this unclassified non-coding RNA (1299 nucleotides) under Hevea brasiliensis (rubber tree). The record is from RNAcentral. Lineage: Eukaryota; Viridiplantae; Streptophyta; Magnoliopsida; Malpighiales; Euphorbiaceae.